GCGGAUGUGGCGGAAUUGGUAUACGCGCAUGCUUGAGGUGCAUGUCCCGCAAGGGGUGGAGGUUCAAGUCCUCUCGUCCGCACCA
Molecule: transfer RNA, 85 nt
Filed under: Candidatus Woykebacteria bacterium RIFCSPHIGHO2_01_FULL_43_29
Lineage: Bacteria; Candidatus Woykeibacteriota
Also listed under: 3 other names
Description: tRNA-Leu
Rfam family: tRNA
About the family: Transfer RNA (tRNA) molecules are approximately 80 nucleotides in length.
Source: RNAcentral